RNAcentral lists this ribosomal RNA (197 nucleotides) under uncultured bacterium. RNAcentral describes it as "partial 16S ribosomal RNA". It matches the Rfam family "Bacterial small subunit ribosomal RNA", at positions 328 to 539 of the family's 1533-position model. The record is from RNAcentral.
ACGCUCGACACCUACGGAGGCAGCAGUGGGGAAUAUUGCACAAUGGGGGAAACCCUGAUGCAGCGACGCCGCGUGGAGGAAGAAGGUCUUCGGAUUGUAAACUCCUGUUGUUGGGGAAAAAGAGGAUGGUACCCAACAAGGAAGUGACGGCUAACUACGUGCUAGCAGCCGCGGUAAUCUGAGCGGGCUGGCAAGGC